This 1763-nucleotide long non-coding RNA is filed under the name Olea europaea subsp. europaea. Lineage: Eukaryota; Viridiplantae; Streptophyta; Magnoliopsida; Lamiales; Oleaceae. The record is from RNAcentral.
CCCUAUCAAUAUGCAUGUAAGAAAAAUUAUAUGUUCCUCUUUUCAACGUUCCCCCUAUCAGGUAUAAUCAUCUACCUACCUUCCCCCUUUUGUCAUAAGUAAAAAAUAUAAAUUCGAAUACAAGUCAACCAUAGUAAUGAGUUUGCUUUGAAGAUAAUAUCCAAAACAUGAAGCAACGUCAUAAAAUUAAGCAUGAACGAUAGUCAUAAAACUAGAUGUAAAACAUAAUAACAAGAUAAUGCUAAGGUUCCGGAGGUGGUGGCAGAGGAAAGUGAGCAUAGAAGUCAUUCUGUCGAACUUACAUCACCGCUUGUUGCAUGAGUUUGCAUCUUGUUGUGCUUGGAUUUGGGCUUGUUGAACUUGAAUUUGAUAAAGUAACCCGCCAAGCCCAUCAAUGGUACAUGUAAGAGAGUUAAUCCAACUAUUUAGGAGAUUAUAGUGAUCCUUGAUAAAUGUUAAACGGCCACCCAAGUUACGAGGAUUCGGAGCUUGUGGAACAUCUUUUUCUUCUUCUUCAAAAGGUAGAGUUGAGGGUACCGAAAUGGGGUCGAACCCUUUUGUUUGAGCCACCCAUGGACCAUGUGAUUUAAUGAUUUUCAUACGUUUUAGUGUUUGUUUGUUAAUAGCGUCAAUAGGACAGAGUUUUACAAAAGCUUUAUCAUGUAGAGGAACAUUAGGUAAGAAGCAUGUUGUAAAGUAAGGCUUUAACAUAAUGAAAAGAAUGUACAAGCUUCAUAACACCUAAAGCAAUGUUUGGGAAAACUAACUUCCGACAAACAAGGUAUGAAUCGAGGAUAAAAAGGUCAAAACAGUUUACCUCAUCCAGAUGCCCCUUCCUAAGGAGAAUGGCAUGUGCAAUGAUGUUCUGCAAGACUUUACACUGUAGGAUUAAUUAAUUUGCUAUAGUUAUGGUAUCAUUUUCAAAAUCUUUUCCCGUCACAUGAUGACAAGCAUCUCUCAAGAAAUAUCCUUCGAACGUCAGAUGAGCUUUGCGAAGAAAAAUUUGGGUAUCAUACACCUCAAGCUCAAGAAUAUGACGGAUUAGAGUUUUAUUAAUGGUGAUACGCACAUUGUUGAUUAAACAAGAAAUCUCAUCCGACCGUGGAGUGAUAACCAUCUUUUUAUAAAAAUCUUUCAUAAGACAGGGGUAGGCAUAUUCCUCUAAUGUGCAAUUUGAAACCCAACCCAUACUUUCAAAAAAAAAAAAAAAUCAUCUUCAAUGUGCAAAUGCAGGUACUUCAAUAGUAAAAUCAACAAAGUCAAAAUUAUACCUAUUAGAACGAGUGAUUUCUCAAACUAGUUCGUCGACACCUGGGGCUCGAAUUCCAUUUCUUCAAUGGAAGAUGGCAGUGGAGAACAUCUUACUGUGGAAUUGACCCGUUUUCCAACCCUCUUUGAUCCUAUAAUGGUGACAAUUUGAAGAAAUAGGGGCAGAUAGAAGUUAGGGUUCGAAUUGGGAAAUAACGAAAUUUUGAGAGAAAGUUUGAUUUUUUUGAGAAAUUGGAGAAGGUGAAGUUCUCAACUUGUGAAAUGGACAAGAAAAUGUUGAAAGAUGAAGGUGAGAGUACGGAUUGAAGAAGAGAACUUGGAAGAAAUGAAAGAGAAGAUGAAAAAAGAAGCCUUGUUCGCAUUUUUUAAAAACUGCAUUCGCAGUACACCAAAUAUUCGGCACAUUUUACCAGAAAGAUAGUGUCCAAUUUCACUGUCAAACCAGACAAGGGAUUCAAACUAUUCGCUAGAUUAGUUUGGUUCCCUUUAGUUCU